This 300-nucleotide ribosomal RNA is filed under the name uncultured Ignisphaera sp. RNAcentral's name for it is "bacterial SSU rRNA". It matches the Rfam family "Bacterial small subunit ribosomal RNA", at positions 495 to 794 of the family's 1533-position model. Lineage: Archaea; Thermoproteati; Thermoproteota; Thermoprotei; Desulfurococcales; Desulfurococcaceae. The record is from RNAcentral.
GGGAAACGCGGGGCCACGGGCGGCGGUAGUGCAGGGUGCCCGGGCGUUGUUCGGAUUCACGUGGCGUAAAGGGUGGGUAGGCGGUCGGGUAAGUCUGAUGUGAAAUCUAACAGCUUAACUGUGAAACUGCAUUGGAUACUAUUCGGCUUGAGGUCUGGAGGGGGGACUGGAAUUCUCGGUGUAGCAGUGAAAUGCGUAGAUAUCGAGAGGAACACCAGUGGCGAAGGCGAGUCCCUGGACAGGUCCUGACGCUGAGGCACGAAAGCUAGGGGAGCAAACAGGAUUAGAUACCCGUGUAGC